CGCCGGCUCUGUUGUUGCAGCCCCUGCGUGACUGCGAUAAAGCGCGCCCGGCGUCGCGGAGCCACACGUCCCUCCUCAGGCCUGAGCGCGGCGAUGUAGGCCAGGGCAGAGCCCUGCCGUUACGGGAGAAACUUCUCCCAGGGCUACAUGGCGAGCCGGCCUGGGCCGCGGGGAUACUCAGAGCAGGGGAGGAAGUUACCCGCCUUGGGGUGGUUGGGGCCCCUUAGAGAGAUUUGCAUCUACAUUUGUACCUGCAAGAGGCCAUACACAGAACAGCAGCACAUCUCCUUUUCCAUGAAUAACCUAUGAGGUAUCAUAAGUAUUUUAAUGCAGGUCUAAAAUACACAUUUCCUUAGUUUGUGGGAAAAGCAGCACUAAAUGGAGAAGACAACAUUCAAAUCACCUUGGAGUAUGUAAUAUCUAAUACCAGCUGCAGUACAGAGAUUUAAUUGAUAACAGCAUCUAAUGGCUAAUGCUGGAAGUAUGUCACAAUGCUAUUAGUGCAUGGAAGAGAAAGUGAGAGGGAUAUUGAAAGGAGGACAAGAAAAAAAGGCAAAAGAAAGGUGAAAAGGUGAUGGCACUCAGAAGAGGAGAUGCCCCUGUUGAUUGUAAACAGCAAUAACAAUUAGCCCAUUACCUGCGGGUGCCCCUGCCAUUACUGUUAAAGCUGCCAUUGAUUUGGUACCGAUAUAAUGACUUCUUACAAGGAAACGAGCUAAAUCCAAAACGGAAUCAAAGGGCUGGCUGAGC
Molecule: long non-coding RNA, 750 nt
Organism: Alligator sinensis (Chinese alligator)
Lineage: Eukaryota; Metazoa; Chordata; Crocodylia; Alligatoridae
Exons: 4
Source: RefSeq, a predicted model, not a curated record